CCUACGGGAGGCAGCAGUGGGGAAUCUUGCGCAAUGGGCGAAAGCCUGACGCAGCAACGCCGCGUGCGGGAAGAAGGCUUUCGGGCUGUAAACCGCUUUCAGCAGGAACGAAAAUGACGGUACCUGCAGAAGAAGGAGCGGCCAACUAUGUGCCAGCAGCCGCGGUGAUACAUAGGCUUCAAGCGUUGUCCGGAUUUAUUGGGCGUAAAGAGUUCGUAGGCGGUCGAGUAAGUCGGGUGUGAAAAUUCUGGGCUCAACCCCAGAGACGCCACCCGAUACUGCUUAACUUGAGUUCGAUAGGGGAGUGGGGAAUUCCUAGUGUAGCGGUGAAAUGCGCAGAUAUUAGGAGGAACACCGGUGGCGAAGGCGCCACUCUGGAUCGAUACUGACGCUGAGGAACGAAAGCAUGGGUAGCAAACAGGAUUAGAUACCCUGGUAGUCCAUGCCGUAAACGGUGGGCACUAGGUGUGGGAUUCUAUUAACGAAUUCCGCGCCGUCGCUAACGCAUAAGUGCCCCGCCUCGGGGAGUACGGUCGCGAAGACUAAAACUACAAAUAAGAAAUUGACGG
Molecule: ribosomal RNA, 569 nt
Filed under: uncultured bacterium
Lineage: Bacteria
Description: bacterial SSU rRNA
Rfam family: Bacterial small subunit ribosomal RNA
Source: RNAcentral